This 485-nucleotide ribosomal RNA is filed under the name uncultured bacterium. RNAcentral describes it as "bacterial SSU rRNA". It matches the Rfam family "Bacterial small subunit ribosomal RNA", at positions 8 to 526 of the family's 1533-position model. The record is from RNAcentral.
AGAGUUUGAUCAUGGCUCAGGACGAACGCUGGCGGCGUGCCUAAUGCAUGCAAGUCGCACGCGCCACCUUCGGGUGGUGAGUGGCGCACGGCUGAGGAUCACGUGGGAACAUGCCUCCUUGUGGGGGACAACAGCGCGAAAGCGCUGCUAAUCCCGCAUACGCUCGUGACUAACGAGGAAGGCGUGCAAACGCGCAGGGAGAGUGGCCCGCGGCCCAUCAGGUCGUUGGUGGGGUAAUGGCCUACCAAGCCUGUGACGGGUAGCUGGUCUGUGAGGACAGACAGCCAGACUGGGACUGAGACACGGCCCAGACUCCUACGGGAGGCAGCAGCAAGGAAUUUUCGUCAAUGGGCUCACGCCUGAACGAGCAACGCCGCGUGGAGGAUGACGGCCUUCGGGUUGUAAACUCCUUUUUCGGGGGACGAUGAUGACGGUACCCCGGGAAUAAGGCUCGGCUAACUCUGUGCCAGCCGCCGCGGUAAUUC